GACAGAGGGUGCAAACGUUGUUCGGAAUUACUGGGCGUAAAGCGUGUGUAGGCGGUCUCAUAAGUCGGGUGUGAAAGCCCAGGGCUCAACCCUGGAAGUGCACUCGAAACUGCGAGGCUUGAGUACCGGAGAGGUUGGUGGAAUUCUCGGUGUAGAGGUGAAAUUCGUAGAUAUCGAGAGGAACACCGGUGGCGAAGGCGGCCAACUGGACGAGUACUGACGCUGAGACACGAAAGCGUGGGGAGCGAACAGG
This 253-nucleotide ribosomal RNA is filed under the name uncultured bacterium. RNAcentral describes it as "partial 16S ribosomal RNA". It matches the Rfam family "Bacterial small subunit ribosomal RNA", at positions 524 to 776 of the family's 1533-position model. The record is from RNAcentral.